This 24-nucleotide non-coding RNA is filed under the name Arabidopsis thaliana (thale cress). The record is from RNAcentral. Lineage: Eukaryota; Viridiplantae; Streptophyta; Magnoliopsida; Brassicales; Brassicaceae.
UGUACGAUGAUGAAGAUUGACGUG